This 429-nucleotide ribosomal RNA is filed under the name Bacteroidota bacterium. Its description in RNAcentral is "Bacteroidetes bacterium partial 16S ribosomal RNA". It matches the Rfam family "Bacterial small subunit ribosomal RNA", at positions 355 to 776 of the family's 1533-position model. Lineage: Bacteria; Pseudomonadati; Bacteroidota. The record is from RNAcentral.
UAGGGAAUCUUCGGCAAUGGGGGGAACCCUUACCGAGCAACGCCGCGUGAGUGAAGAAGGUUUUCGGAUCGUAAAGCUCUGUUGUUAAGGAAGAACGAGUGUGAGAAUGGAAAGUUCAUGCUGUGACGGUACUUAACCAGAAAGGGACGGCUAACUACGUGCCAGCAGCCGCGGUAAUACGUAGGUCCCGAGCGUUGUCCGGAUUUAUUGGGCGUAAAGCGAGCGCAGUCGGUUAGAUAAGUCUGAAGUUAAAGGCAGUGGCUCAACCAUUGUAGGCUUUGGAAACUGUUUAACUUGAGUGCAGAAGGGGAGAGUGGAAUUCCAUGUGUAGCGGUGAAAUGCGUAGAUAUAUGGAGGAACACCGGUGGCGAAAGCGGCUCUCUGGUCUGUAACUGACGCUGAGGCUCGAAAGCGUGGGGAGCGAACAGG